GCUGGGUGCAGCGGCAUGUGCCUGUAGUCCCAGCUACUCAGGAGGCUGAGAUGGGAGGAUCUCUUGAGUCCAGGAGUUCUGGGCUGUAGUGCACUGUGUCGAUUGGGUGUCCACACUAAGUUCGGCAUCAAUAUGGUGACCUCCCAGGAGCGGGGGACCACCAGAUUGCCUAAAGAGGGAUGAAUCGGCCCAGGUCAGAAACUGAGCAGGUCAAAACUCCCAUGCUGAUCAGUAGUGGGAUCACGCCUGUACAUAGACACUGCACUCCAGCCUGGGCAACAUAGCGAGACACCCCUGUCUC
Callithrix jacchus (white-tufted-ear marmoset) is the source of this 301-nucleotide unclassified non-coding RNA. It matches the Rfam family "Metazoan signal recognition particle RNA". From Rfam's summary of the family: The signal recognition particle (SRP) is a universally conserved ribonucleoprotein. It is involved in the co-translational targeting of proteins to membranes. Lineage: Eukaryota; Metazoa; Chordata; Mammalia; Primates; Cebidae. The record is from Ensembl.